GUGUUUGCUUCAGCAGCAUGUAUACUAAAAUUGGAAUGAUAUAGAGAAGAUAAGCAUGGCCCCUGCACAAGGAUGACACACAAAUUCAUGAAGCAUCCCAUAUUUUA
This 107-nucleotide small nuclear RNA is filed under the name Pongo abelii (Sumatran orangutan). The record is from RNAcentral. Lineage: Eukaryota; Metazoa; Chordata; Mammalia; Primates; Hominidae.